Molecule: ribosomal RNA, 525 nt
Filed under: Triticum aestivum (bread wheat)
Lineage: Eukaryota; Viridiplantae; Streptophyta; Magnoliopsida; Poales; Poaceae
Description: partial small subunit ribosomal RNA
Source: RNAcentral
AUGACAACAAGCGCCAAGUGCAGGGUGCUGACAUCGAGAUCACUACGGAUUGCCAACAAUCAGCCCCAGUACUGGAAAUGGAUUUCUCCUCCAGAUUCGUCUUCCAGGUUUGCCGAAUGUGCGGAGCUCCUGAGUGUGUACUUUCUCGCCGUCAUCGGAGAGAUCCCGCCGAGAGACCUCUCCGCCGGCACAAGCUAUGCAGUUUACCUUGUGUACAAGCUGGCGAGAACCACCUAUGGCCUGAGGGGCUCCGUGCAGACAUCGUCGCUCAGGCUCCACGGCGAGAGGAUUGUCCCCGGCAGCACCCGCGGGGUCAGCCUCCACCCCGAAGGGCGUGGGUCAGCCAAUGAUAUUACCUACCCCGACGCGAGGGGCGACGGCUGGCUGGAGCUCAGGUUGGCCGAGUUCGAAAACGACGACGAGAUGCUCACGGAGAGGGGGGUGAUCGUGGAUAUCCGUGAGGAGAACGACAGCGUCCAGAAGAAAGGCCUCAUCAUUGGGGGCAUGGAGUUUAGGAGCAACUAG